CCCUUAGAUGUUCUGGGCCGCACACGCGCUACACUGAAGGAGGCAGCGUGUACUCCUGGAUCGAAAGAUUUGGGUAACCCGCGAAUCUCCUUCGUGCUAGGGAUUGAGGUUUGCAAUUAUCCUUCAUGAACGAGGAAUUCCCAGUAAGUGCAAGUCAUAAGCUUGCGCUGACUACGUCCCUGCCCUUUGUACACACCGCCCGUCACUACUACCGAUUGAAUGAUUUAGUGAGGACUUCGGACUGGGACCGAUGCGGCUUUCGGGCUGCGUCGGUAUUCUGGAAAGAUGUCCAAACUGUAUCAUUUAGAGGAAGUAAAANUCGUANCA
RNAcentral lists this ribosomal RNA (327 nucleotides) under uncultured eukaryote. RNAcentral's name for it is "partial 18S ribosomal RNA". It matches the Rfam family "Eukaryotic small subunit ribosomal RNA", at positions 1470 to 1796 of the family's 1831-position model. The record is from RNAcentral.